RNAcentral lists this transfer-messenger RNA (363 nucleotides) under Escherichia coli. RNAcentral's name for it is "Standard tmRNA". It matches the Rfam family "transfer-messenger RNA". From Rfam's summary of the family: Bacterial tmRNA, also known as 10Sa RNA or SsrA, is named for its dual tRNA and mRNA-like properties. Its role is to liberate the mRNA from a stalled ribosome. Lineage: Bacteria; Pseudomonadati; Pseudomonadota; Gammaproteobacteria; Enterobacterales; Enterobacteriaceae. RNAcentral also lists the same sequence under 1 other name. The record is from RNAcentral.
GGGGCUGAUUCUGGAUUCGACGGGAUUUGCGAAACCCAAGGUGCAUGCCGAGGGGCGGUUGGCCUCGUAAAAAGCCGCAAAAAAUAGUCGCAAACGACGAAAACUACGCUUUAGCAGCUUAAUAACCUGCUUAGAGCCCUCUCUCCCUAGCCUCCGCUCUUAGGACGGGGAUCAAGAGAGGUCAAACCCAAAAGAGAUCGCGUGGAAGCCCUGCCUGAGGUUGAAGCGUUAAAACUUAAUCAGGCUAGUUUGUUAGUGGCGUGUCCGUCCGCAGCUGGCAAGCGAAUGUAAAGACUGACUAAGCAUGUAGUACCGAGGAUGUAGGAAUUUCGGACGCGGGUUCAACUCCCGCCAGCUCCACCA